Molecule: ribosomal RNA, 543 nt
Filed under: Salmonella enterica subsp. enterica serovar Kentucky
Lineage: Bacteria; Pseudomonadati; Pseudomonadota; Gammaproteobacteria; Enterobacterales; Enterobacteriaceae
Description: partial 23S ribosomal RNA
Rfam family: Bacterial large subunit ribosomal RNA
Source: RNAcentral
GCCGGAGGGAAACCGAGUCUUAAUUGGGCGUUAAGUUGCAGGGUAUAGACCCGAAACCCGGUGAUCUAGCCAUGGGCAGGUUGAAGGUUGGGUAACACUAACUGGAGGACCGAACCGACUAAUGUUGAAAAAUUAGCGGAUGACCUGUGGCUGGGGGUGAAAGGCCAAUCAAACCGGGAGAUAGCUGGUUCUCCCCGAAAGCUAUUUAGGUAGCGCCUCGUGAAUUCAUCUCCGGGGGUAGAGCACUGUUUCGGCUAGGGGGCCAUCCCGGCUUACCAACCCGAUGCAAACUGCGAAUACCGGAGAAUGUUAUCACGGGAGACACACGGCGGGUGCUAACGUCCGUCGUGAAGAGGGAAACAACCCAGACCGCCAGCUAAGGUCCCAAAGUCAUGGUUAAGUGGGAAACGAUGUGGGAAGGCCCAGACAGCCAGGAUGUUGGCUUAGAAGCAGCCAUCAUUUAAAGAAAGCGUAAUAGCUCACUGGUCGAGUCGGCCUGCGCGGAAGAUGUAACGGGGCUAAACCAUGCACCGAAGCUGCGGC